AUCUUCGGACCUCGCGCCAUUAGAUGAGCCUAGGUCGGAUUAGCUAGUUGGUGAGGUAAUGGCUCACCAAGGCGACGAUCCGUAACUGGUCUGAGAGGAUGAUCAGUCACACUGGAACUGAGACACGGUCCAGACUCCUACGGGAGGCAGCAGUGGGGAAUAUUGGACAAUGGGCGAAAGCCUGAUCCAGCCAUGCCGCGUGUGUGAAGAAGGUCUUCGGAUUGUAAAGCACUUUAAGUUGGGAGGAAGGGUAGUAACCUAAUACGUUGCUACUUUGACGUUACCGACAGAAUAAGCACCGGCUAACUUCGUG
This 313-nucleotide ribosomal RNA is filed under the name uncultured bacterium. RNAcentral describes it as "bacterial SSU rRNA". It matches the Rfam family "Bacterial small subunit ribosomal RNA", at positions 202 to 507 of the family's 1533-position model. The record is from RNAcentral.